Molecule: ribosomal RNA, 353 nt
Filed under: uncultured Oscillospiraceae bacterium
Lineage: Bacteria; Bacillati; Bacillota; Clostridia; Eubacteriales; Oscillospiraceae
Description: partial 16S ribosomal RNA
Source: RNAcentral
GGAGUCUGGGCCGUGUCUCAGUCCCAAUGUGGCCGUUCAACCUCUCAGUCCGGCUACCGAUCGUCGGCUUGGUGGGCCGUUACCCCGCCAACUACCUAAUCGGACGCGAGUCCAUCUUCCAGCGGAUUGCUCCUUUGACCCCUCUCGGAUGCCCGAGCGUGGUCUUAUGCGGUAUUAGCAUCUAUUUCUAAAUGUUAUCCCCCUCUCGAAGGUAGGUUCCUCACGUGUUACUCACCCGUUCGCCACUAACUUCUUAGAGUCUUUGGCCGAAGCCUCCGUCUCUAAGUCGUCCGUUCGACUUGCAUGUGUUAGGCGCGCCGCCAGCGUUCGUCCUGAGCCAUGAUCAAACUACU